Small nuclear RNA from Callithrix jacchus (white-tufted-ear marmoset), 141 nucleotides. Its record names the gene U4. It matches the Rfam family "U4 spliceosomal RNA". Rfam says of the family: U4 small nuclear RNA (U4 snRNA) is a component of the major U2-dependent spliceosome. The structure of U4 snRNA from yeast and human has been reported. NCBI's taxonomy places the organism in Eukaryota, Metazoa, Chordata, Mammalia, Primates, Cebidae. The record is from Ensembl.
AGCUUUGCACAGUGGCAGUAUUGUAGCCAAUGAGGUUUAUCUGAGGCGCGAUUAUUGCUAAUUGAAAACUUUUCCCAAUACCCCGCCAUGACGACUUGAAAUACAGUUUGCGUUGGCAAUUUUUGGGAGUCUCUAUGGAGA